This 434-nucleotide ribosomal RNA is filed under the name uncultured Clostridium sp. RNAcentral describes it as "partial 16S ribosomal RNA". It matches the Rfam family "Bacterial small subunit ribosomal RNA", at positions 341 to 792 of the family's 1533-position model. Lineage: Bacteria; Bacillati; Bacillota; Clostridia; Eubacteriales; Clostridiaceae. The record is from RNAcentral.
ACGGGAGGCAGCAGUGGGGAAUAUUGGACAAUGGAGGAAACUCUGAUCCAGCGACGCCGCGUGAGUGAAGAAGUAUUUCGGUAUGUAAAGCUCUAUCAGCAGGGAAGAUAAUGACGGUACCUGACUAAGAAGCCCCGGCUAAAUACGUGCCAGCAGCCGCGGUAAUACGUAUGGUGCAAGCGUUAUCCGGAUUUACUGGGUGUAAAGGGAGCGUAGACGGCAUAGCAAGUCUGAAGUGAAAUGCAUGGGCUCAACCCAUGAACUGCUUUGGAAACUGUUAAGCUAGAGUGCAGGAGAGGUAAGUGGAAUUCCUAGUGUAGCGGUGAAAUGCGUAGAUAUUAGGAGGAACACCAGAGGCGAAGGCGGCUUACUGGACUGUAACUGACGUUGAGGCUCGAAAGCGUGGGGAGCAAACAGGAUUAGAUACCCUGGUA